Mastomys coucha (southern multimammate mouse) is the source of this 282-nucleotide RNA transcript. It is a transcript of the gene named metallothionein-2 pseudogene, with no coding region annotated. The transcript has 2 exons. The record is from RefSeq and is a predicted model, not a curated record. NCBI's taxonomy places the organism in Eukaryota, Metazoa, Chordata, Mammalia, Rodentia, Muridae.
AUGAUAACAGAGACCCGGGUGCUGCAGUUGCAAGGCAAGGAAAGAAUCCCAGGGAGAGACACAGCUGUACAGCUGGACCCCAACUGCUCCUGUACCUCAGAUGGAUCCUGCUCUUAUGCCGGUUCCUGCAAAUACAAACAAUGCCAAUGCACCUCCUGCAAGAAAAGCUGCUGCUCCUGCUGCCUCGUGGGCUAUGCGAAGUGCUCCCAGGGCUGCAUCUGCAAAGAGGUUUUGGACAAGUGCAGCUGCUGCGCCUGAAGUGGGGGCGUCCCCACAACUCUG